This 489-nucleotide ribosomal RNA is filed under the name uncultured bacterium. RNAcentral's name for it is "partial 16S ribosomal RNA". It matches the Rfam family "Bacterial small subunit ribosomal RNA", at positions 30 to 507 of the family's 1533-position model. The record is from RNAcentral.
UUGAACGCUGGCGGCAGGCCUAACACAUGCCAGUCGAACGGUAACAGGAAGAAGCUUGCUUCUUUGCUGACGAGUGGCGGACGGGUGAGUAAUGUCUGGGAAACUGCCUGAUGGAGGGGGAUAACUACUGGAAACGGUAGCUAAUACCGCAUAACGUCGCAAGACCAAAGAGGGGGACCUUCGGGCCUCUUGCCAUCGGAUGUGCCCAGAUGGGAUUAGCUAGUAGGUGGGGUAACGGCUCACCUAGGCGACGAUCCCUAGCUGGUCUGAGAGGAUGACCAGCCACACUGGAACUGAGACACGGUCCAGACUCCUACGGGAGGCAGCAGUGGGGAAUAUUGCACAAUGGGCGCAAGCCUGAUGCAGCCAUGCCGCGUGUAUGAAGAAGGCCUUCGGGUUGUAAAGUACUUUCAGCGGGGAGGAAGGGAGUAAAGUUAAUACCUUGGCUAAUUGACGUUACCCGCAGAAGAAGCACCGGCUAACUCCGUG